Molecule: ribosomal RNA, 496 nt
Filed under: uncultured bacterium
Lineage: Bacteria
Description: bacterial SSU rRNA
Rfam family: Bacterial small subunit ribosomal RNA
Source: RNAcentral
CAUCCAGACAGGUGGUGCAUGGUUGUCGUCAGCUCGUGUCGUGAGAUGUUGGGUUAAGUCCCGCAACGAGCGCAACCCUUGUAUUCAGUUGCUACGCAAGAGCACUCUGGAUAGACUGCCGUUGACAAAACGGAGGAAGGUGGGGAUGACGUCAAAUCAUCAUGCCCCUUACGACCUGGGCCACACACGUACUACAAUGGCGCACAACAGAGGGAAGCAAGACAGCGAUGUGGAGCAAACCCCUAAAAUGCGUCCCAGUUCAGAUUGCAGGCUGCAACCCGCCUGCAUGAAGUCGGAAUUGCUAGUAAUCGCGGAUCAGCAUGCCGCGGUGAAUACGUUCCCGGGCCUUGUACACACCGCCCGUCACACCAUGGGAGCCGGUAACACCCGAAGUCAGUAGCCUGACCGCAAGGAGGGCGCUGCCGAAGGUGGGAUUGGUGACUGGGGUGAAGUCGUAACAAGGUAGCUGUAUCGGAAGGUGCGGUUGGAUCACCUC